UGCUUAACACAUGCAAGUCGAACGCUGAAGCUUGGUGCUUGCACUGGGUGGAUGAGUGGCGAACGGGUGAGUAUCACGUGAGUAACCUGCCCCUGACUUCGGGAUAAGCCUGGGAAACUGGGUCUAAUACCGGAUAUGACCAUCUUUCGCAUGUUGGGUGGUGGAAAGUUUUUUCGGUUGGGGAUGGGCUCGCGGCCUAUCAGUUUGUUGGUGGGGUAAUGGCCUACCAAGACGACGACGGGUAGCCGGCCUGAGAGGGCGACCGGCCACACUGGGACUGAGACACGGCCCAGACUCCUACGGGAGGCAGCAGUGGGGAAUAUUGCACAAUGGGGGAAACCCUGAUGCAGCGACGCCGCGUGGGGGAUGACGGCCUUCGGGUUGUAAACCUCUUUCAGUAGGGAAGAAGCCUUUGGGUGACGGUACCUGCAGAAGAAGUACCGGCUAACUACGUGCCAGCAGCCGCGGUAAUACGUAGGGUACAAGCGUUGUCCGGAAUUAUUGGGCGUAAAGAGCUCGUAGGUGGUUUGUCGCGUCUGCUGUGGAAUCGUGCCCGCUUAACGGUGCCGCGUGCAGUGGU
Molecule: ribosomal RNA, 580 nt
Filed under: Brevibacterium ravenspurgense
Lineage: Bacteria; Bacillati; Actinomycetota; Actinomycetes; Micrococcales; Brevibacteriaceae
Description: bacterial SSU rRNA
Rfam family: Bacterial small subunit ribosomal RNA
Source: RNAcentral